This 617-nucleotide ribosomal RNA is filed under the name uncultured bacterium. RNAcentral describes it as "bacterial SSU rRNA". It matches the Rfam family "Bacterial small subunit ribosomal RNA", at positions 9 to 639 of the family's 1533-position model. The record is from RNAcentral.
GAGUUUGAUCCUGGCUCAAGAUGAACGCUGGCGGCGUGCUUAACACAUGCAAGUCGAACGGACUCAUAUUGAAACCUAGUGAUUUAUGAGUUAGUGGCGGACGGGUGAGUAACGCGUGGAUAACCUGCCGUAUACCGGGGGAUAACACUUAGAAAUAGGUGCUAAUACCGCAUAAGCGCACGGCUCCGCAUGGGGCAGUGUGAAAAACUCCGGUGGUAUACGAUGGAUCCGCGUCUGAUUAGCUAGUUGGCGGGGUAACGGCCCACCAAGGCAGCGAUCAGUAGCCGGCCUGAGAGGGUGGACGGCCACAUUGGGACUGAGACACGGCCCAAACUCCUACGGGAGGCAGCAGUGGGGAAUAUUGCACAAUGGGGGAAACCCUGAUGCAGCGACGCCGCGUGAGAGAAGAAGUAUCUCGGUACGUAAAGCUCUAUCAGCAGGGAAGAAAAUGACGGUACCUGACUAAGAAGCCCCGGCUAACUACGUGCCAGCAGCCGCGGUAAUACGUAAGGGGCAAGCGUUAUCCGGAUUUACUGGGUGUAAAGGGAGCGUANACGGCAGCACAAGUCUGGAGUGGAAUCCCGGGGCUUACCCCGGAACUGCUUUGGAACUGUGCG